RNAcentral lists this long non-coding RNA (427 nucleotides) under Gossypium raimondii (Peruvian cotton). RNAcentral's name for it is "long non-coding RNA (GRAI_LNC003237)". The record is from RNAcentral. Lineage: Eukaryota; Viridiplantae; Streptophyta; Magnoliopsida; Malvales; Malvaceae.
UGUGUACGGCGCGCGUGGAGAGGGGUCAACUCCGAGACGUGCGGCGCUCGGAGACUUGCUGGAGGCGUCGGGGCUGUUGCUGGUGGCUUGCUGCGGCGCUCCUUGCUGCUAAUGUUUUUUUUUUUGGCUGAGUUUUGGGUUAAUGUUUAGGUCUUGGGUUGGGGUCAAUUGGGUAUUGGGUUUUAAUUUUAUUGGGCCUGCUAUUGUAUUUUAUUAUUGGUAGGGCCGGGCAAAUAAUUGGUAUUUCAUAAUGAUUGUUUUUUUUUAGGUUUUAGUGUUGAUUUAAUUAAAGUUAAUUGUUAAUAUUACUGGGUAAUUAUGAGUUUUCAUCAAAUUAAUCCUAAAACUCAAACUAAAUACUAAAAUGUUAACAUUGUCACUUUUAAAUAUCAAAAUAUAUAAAUUUUAUUAAAUAUAGAUGCCAAAU